Molecule: ribosomal RNA, 312 nt
Filed under: uncultured bacterium
Lineage: Bacteria
Description: bacterial SSU rRNA
Rfam family: Bacterial small subunit ribosomal RNA
Source: RNAcentral
AUGACGUCAAUCAUCAUGCCCCUUAUGACCUGGGCUACACACGUGCUACAAUGGCUGGUACAACGAGUCGCAAGCCGGUGACGGCAAGCUAAUCUCUUAAAGCCAGUCUCAGUUCGGAUUGUAGGCUGCAACUCGCCUACAUGAAGUCGGAAUCGCUAGUAAUCGCGGAUCAGCACGCCGCGGUGAAUACGUUCCCGGGCCUUGUACACACCGCCCGUCACACCACGAGAGUUUGUAACACCCGAAGUCGGUGAGGUAACCUUUUAGGAGCCAGCCGCCUAAGGUGGGAUAGAUGAUUGGGGUGAAGUCGUA